RNAcentral lists this ribosomal RNA (301 nucleotides) under uncultured bacterium. Its description in RNAcentral is "partial 16S ribosomal RNA". It matches the Rfam family "Bacterial small subunit ribosomal RNA", at positions 509 to 807 of the family's 1533-position model. The record is from RNAcentral.
CAGCCGCCGCGGGAAUACGAAGGGUGCAAGCGUUAAUCGGAAUUACUGGGCGUAAAGGGCGCGUAGGCGGCACGAUUAGUCAGGCGUGAAAUUCCUGGGCUCAACCUGGGGACUGCGCUUGAUACGGUCGAGCUAGAGGAUGGAAGAGGGUUGUGGAAUUCCCAGUGUAGAGGUGAAAUUCGUAGAUAUUGGGAAGAACACCGGUGGCGAAGGCGGCAACCUGGUCCAUUACUGACGCUGAGGUGCGACAGCGUGGGGAGCAAACAGGAUUAGAUACCCGCGUAGUCCCUGUCUCUUAUAC